UUGAACGCUGGCGGCAGGCCUAACACAUGCAAGUCGAGCGGAUGACAGGAGCUUGCUCCUGAAUUCAGCGGCGGACGGGUGAGUAAUGCCUAGGAAUCUGCCUGGUAGUGGGGGACAACGUUUCGAAAGGAACGCUAAUACCGCAUACGUCCUACGGGAGAAAGCAGGGGACCUUCGGGCCUUGCGCUAUCAGAUGAGCCUAGGUCGGAUUAGCUAGUUGGUGAGGUAAUGGCUCACCAAGGCGACGAUCCGUAACUGGUCUGAGAGGAUGAUCAGUCACACUGGAACUGAGACACGGUCCAGACUCCUACGGGAGGCAGCAGUGGGGAAUAUUGGACAAUGGGCGAAAGCCUGAUCCAGCCAUGCCGCGUGUGUGAAGAAGGUCUUCGGAUUGUAAAGCACUUUAAGUUGGGAGGAAGGGCAUUAACCUAAUACGUUAGUGUUUUGACGUUACCGACAGAAUAAGCACCGGCUAACUCUGU
This 482-nucleotide ribosomal RNA is filed under the name Pseudomonas sp. Its description in RNAcentral is "bacterial SSU rRNA". It matches the Rfam family "Bacterial small subunit ribosomal RNA", at positions 30 to 506 of the family's 1533-position model. RNAcentral also lists the same sequence under 1 other name. Lineage: Bacteria; Pseudomonadati; Pseudomonadota; Gammaproteobacteria; Pseudomonadales; Pseudomonadaceae. The record is from RNAcentral.